GUGGGGAAUAUUGGACAAUGGGCGAAAGCCUGAUCCAGCCAUGCCGCGUGUGUGAAGAAGGUCUUCGGAUUGUAAAGCACUUUAAGUUGGGAGGAAGGGCAGUAAGUUAAUACCUUGCUGUUUUGACGUUACCGACAGAAUAAGCACCGGCUAACUUCGUGCCAGCAGCCGCGGUAAUACGAAGGGUGCAAGCGUUAAUCGGAAUUACUGGGCGUAAUGCGCGCGUAGGUGGUUUUGUAAGUUGGAGGUGAAAUCCCCGGGCUCAACCUGGGAACUGACUCCAAAACUGCAUGACUAGAAUACGGUAGAGGGUAGUGGAAUUUCCUGUGUAGCGGUGAAAUGCGUAGAUAUAGGAAGGAACACCAGUAGCGAAGGCGACUACCUGGACUGAUACUGACACUGAGGUGCGAAAGCGUGGGGAGCAAACCGGAUUAGAUACCCUUGUAGUCC
This 450-nucleotide ribosomal RNA is filed under the name uncultured bacterium. RNAcentral's name for it is "partial 16S ribosomal RNA". It matches the Rfam family "Bacterial small subunit ribosomal RNA", at positions 354 to 796 of the family's 1533-position model. The record is from RNAcentral.